This 2114-nucleotide small RNA is filed under the name Rattus norvegicus (Norway rat). Its description in RNAcentral is "uncharacterized LOC102555236". Lineage: Eukaryota; Metazoa; Chordata; Mammalia; Rodentia; Muridae. The record is from RNAcentral.
UCCUUCCUUUCAUGGAUACGUUAAUAAGUGGGACGGUAAGCUCUUUCUGCUGUUACAGCUCUUGUUCUGUUUCUCUGUCUUUAGAACGUGCUACGCUGCCUUGAAAACAGCUUCCUGCUCUGCCCAGGUGACCCUACAGUUGCCACCUUCUUAUGAUAGAGCCAUCAUUGUUUAAUUACUUCCCCAAAGGCUUACCUUUAAGGUAAGUUGGACUGGAGACUGAAUUUCUAACACACCAACUUGGAAGGCAACAUUCAAAAGCAAAGUGUAGGCUUUUUUAUGUGCACACACAUAAGCAUGUUGUGUGUAAUGUUGCUACUGUUGUGAGUUGUAAUAUAAAUAUCUAUUUUCUGAUGGUCUUAAGUGACCCCUGUGAAAGGGUUCUUCAACCUCCAUGUUGAGAACCACUGUCAUAGAAAAUAAAACCUGGUAACAGAGUAUUUUGAUCCCAUCAUCUUUGAAUUCCACUUGAGAGUCCUAAUUUUAGUAUUGGUUUCAACCUAUAGCUCCAAGUGAUACAGACAUGCACUUUAAGGUAUAACCAGGAGAUGCUUAUGCAGUGGACAGGAAGGUACUGAUCUCAACAGAAGAGAGAAGACACACACCUUUGGACGACACUUAAAAGAAAUACAUUGGAAAGAUUCAUUUAACUUUAUUUCUAAGAAUUUCAUUGAAUCUAAUGAGAGUUUUAUACACUGGUAACUCUCUUUUUCCUACUCCAAACUAUAGCAUACAUUUUAAGUUUCAUGUAUUUUGGCUGUAAUGGUGUAUAUCUGUAACCGUAGAACUUAGGAGAGCGAGUCAAAAUGAUUGCAAGAGUGAGGCCAGGCUGGCCUACAUAACAAGACCACAUCUAAGAACAACAAACAAACCGAAAAAAUCCAUCCUCAUCCCCACCAUUUUUUCAACUUGCUCCUUAGGUCUUCUGUCACCUUGGUAUGAAUCCUACACUAAGAAAGUUUGCAUGCCAAGCGUCAGGUGUGCUGCUGACGUAUGAUUGCAAUGGCUGCUUUAAUUCUGCCGCCUGCUGAUUCUACCUGAAGAAUGUCCAGAGAGUCGCUGGAGUACAACAUGGCUGUACCAUACUGUGUUCAUACCAACCUUCAGCAUUGCAUGCCAAGGGACACUUCACAAGGGACCAGCUCACUUGUGUUGGACCUGGGAUGUGUCAGAGUCAAGCAGCUACAUUUGCAGGCCUUCAGUUUCAUCUCUGCCAUGAAAGGUCACCUGCUCUCAGUCUACCUGCUCUCCACUCUCACCCCUGUUAGGCUGUAUCUCACAAGAGAUUAUCAAAUAAAUACCACGGUUAAAAAAUUACCAAAAAAAGUCAUAUGCAUGGUCCACCUAGGCACUUUGUAUAAUUCUCCACUAGCAUAUGCUGAAAAACAAUUGAAAAAGGAAGUUGAGAAACAUAGUUUUCAAAGGUAUGCGGGCUUUGCGUUUUGGUGUGCAUCGAUAAAUUUAAAUGGCGGCAUUUCCCACUGUGCUCGGAAAUGGCAAUAAACAAGAAGGAUAAUGGGAGCAUAAACUUGCACAAAUGUUCAUUAGAGCAAACAAUGCCCCUUGUGAUUCUGGGACUGUACGGAUGCACGCUAUUAUCUCUUCCCAGUGCAAGCGCAAAUACAGACCACGAGAGCUAACGAGCUGCGGUGUCGUCUGAAUUUCCAUGGACUGUAUUUACAGCUUCAGAGCCUUACUGAAUGGUGCCAAACAGACUUAUUAAUAAUAGCGCUAGUGACACUUCAUUGGAUAAUCCUCUCUGUUUUCGUUGAUCUUAAUGAGGUAGUUUGGGGUGGUAACCUGCAAUGGAAAACUUGGGAGCAGGUGGCAGCAGGACCCGAGUUGCCUCUUGAACUGAAAGGUAGCUAACAUCUAAAACAAUGCUUUGUUACCCAACAGCUACCCAGCACUACUUUUACUCUAAAAACAGGCAAAAGAUAAAUUUCAAAAACCUAAGACUUCAUCACCUUUUAAAGCUCUUCUGUAUGGAUGAAUGGACAGUAAGGACAGAUUUGUUGAAAUUUUGUGGCCUGUUCCCACAUGUCUGCAUUUCCCAAUGACACUUUCUUUAUGGAAAAGAGUGUACUAGGCAUAACACAUUUGUUUUUCCAUGA